GGAGAGGUGGCAGAGCGGCUGAAUGCACCGGUCUUGAAAACCGGCAAGGGUUAAUAGCCCUUCGUGGGUUCAAAUCCCACCCUCUCCG
This 88-nucleotide transfer RNA is filed under the name Arenicella xantha. It matches the Rfam family "tRNA". Rfam says of the family: Transfer RNA (tRNA) molecules are approximately 80 nucleotides in length. Their secondary structure includes four short double-helical elements and three loops (D, anti-codon, and T loops). The record is from Rfam by way of RNAcentral. RNAcentral also lists the same sequence under 1 other name. Lineage: Bacteria; Pseudomonadati; Pseudomonadota; Gammaproteobacteria; Arenicellales; Arenicellaceae.